RNAcentral lists this non-coding RNA (48 nucleotides) under Schistosoma mansoni. The record is from RNAcentral. Lineage: Eukaryota; Metazoa; Platyhelminthes; Trematoda; Strigeidida; Schistosomatidae.
AUCCAUCUGAGGAGUCCCAAAUAGGAGGAAAAGCGCAUCAAACUGGAU